AAUAAUCUCAUUUUUCGUUUUUUCGUGUCCAGCGUUUGACCAUUCGUCUUAUUUGAAAUUUUUUUGCGAUUAAUAUUUUUGUUCUUACUAGAUGACAAAACAUGAAUAGUACUUUAUGCGUGACUAAUUUUUUUAAGUUUUUAUACAAAAUUUUCAAAUAAGAUGAAUAGUCAAACGUUGGACACGGAAAAAC
This is a non-coding RNA of Oryza brachyantha (malo sina), 193 nucleotides long. The record is from Rfam. NCBI's taxonomy places the organism in Eukaryota, Viridiplantae, Streptophyta, Magnoliopsida, Poales, Poaceae.